UGGUGUGUGGUGAUAAUUCUUUUUUCUUUUAUCUGUUCAGUUUGGGUGAUUUCCUCUAGUUUUUCAUCCAGCUCACUGCUCAGUUCUUCUAUAUCACCUACUCUGCUAUUGAGUCCCUCUAGUGAAUUUUUCACUUCCAAUAUUGUAUUCUUCAUUUCUGAUUGGUUCUUUUUUAUAUUUUCCAGUUCUUUGUUGAUGUUGUCAAUGUAUUCAUCCAUUCUUCUCCCAAGAUUGGUCCCAGUCACGAACCUAAGAGGGUAGAGAAAAAGAUCCUUUCCCUCCCCAACAAUUUCUAAAAUGGAGAUUAUAAUAUCUACCCCAGAGAAUUAGCCUUAACAAUUAAAUGAAUGUGGAAUGUUUGGCCCAUAAGUUUCACCGCUUAUGAUGAAGAGAAUGAGAAUACUGCCUACUUCAGUCCUGUGCAAAGAAAUGCAGGUACCCA
Molecule: long non-coding RNA, 442 nt
Filed under: Equus caballus (horse)
Lineage: Eukaryota; Metazoa; Chordata; Mammalia; Perissodactyla; Equidae
Description: lncRNA (ENSECAG00000051895.1)
Source: RNAcentral